Molecule: ribosomal RNA, 517 nt
Filed under: uncultured bacterium
Lineage: Bacteria
Description: partial 16S ribosomal RNA
Rfam family: Bacterial small subunit ribosomal RNA
Source: RNAcentral
UGGGGAAUAUUGCACAAUGGGCGAAAGCCUGAUGCAGCAACGCCGCGUGAGUGAUGAAGGUCUUCGGAUUGUAAAGCUCUGUCUUUUGGGACGAUAAUGACGGUACCAAAGGAGGAAGCCACGGCUAACUACGUGCCAGCAGCCGCGGUAAUACGUAGGUGGCGAGCGUUGUCCGGAUUUACUGGGCGUAAAGGGUGCGUAGGCGGAUGUUUAAGUGAGAUGUGAAAUACCCGGGCUUAACUUGGGUGCUGCAUUUCAAACUGGAUAUCUAGAGUGCAGGAGAGGAGAAUGGAAUUCCUAGUGUAGCGGUGAAAUGCGUAGAGAUUAGGAAGAACACCAGUGGCGAAGGCGAUUCUCUGGACUGUAACUGACGCUGAGGCACGAAAGCGUGGGUAGCAAACAGGAUUAGAUACCCUGGUAGUCCACGCCGUAAACGAUGAGUACUAGGUGUAGGAGGUAUCGACCCCUUCUGUGCCGCAGUAAACACAUUAAGUACUCCGCCUGGGAAGUACGAUCG